This 502-nucleotide ribosomal RNA is filed under the name uncultured bacterium. RNAcentral's name for it is "partial 16S ribosomal RNA". It matches the Rfam family "Bacterial small subunit ribosomal RNA", at positions 28 to 507 of the family's 1533-position model. The record is from RNAcentral.
GACGAACGCUGGCGGCGUGCUUAACACAUGCAAGUCGAACGGUGAAGGGGUCUGCUUUUGUGGGCCCUGGAUGAGUGGCGAACGGGUGAGUAACACGUGAGUAACCUGCCCGCUUCUUCUGGAUAACCGCAUGAAAGUGUGGCUAAUACGGGAUAUUCUGGGUCUGUCGCAUGAUGGGUCUGGGAAAGAUUGCGCCUUUGGGGGGUUUUGGUGGGGGAUGGGCUCGCGGCCUAUCAGCUUGUGGGUGGGGUGAUGGCCUACCAAGGCGGGGACGGGUAGCCGGCCUGAGGGGGUGGACGGUCACACUGGGACUGAGACACGGCCCAGACUCCUACGGGAGGCAGCAGUGGGGAAGAUUGAACAAUGGGCGCAAGCCUGAUGCAGCGACGCCGCGUGAGGGAUGGAGGCCUUCGGGUUGUAAACCUCUUUCGCCAGUGAAGCAGGCCUGCUCCUUGUGGGUGGGUUGACGGUAGCCGGAGAAGAAGCGCCGGCUAACUACGUG